AACGAACGCUGGCGGCAUGCCUAACACAUGCAAGUCGAACGAGACCUUCGGGUCUAGUGGCGCACGGGUGCGUAACGCGUGGGAACCUGCCCUUAGGUUCGGAAUAACUCCCCGAAAGGGGUGCUAAUACCGGAUAAUGUCUUCGGACCAAAGAUUUAUCGCCUUUGGAUGGGCCCGAGUGGGAUUAGCUAGUUGGUAGGGUAAAAGCUUACCAAGGCGACGAUCCAUAGCUGGUUUGAGAGGCUGAUCAGCCACACUGGGACUGAGACACGGCCCAGACUCCUACGGGAGGCAGCAGUGGGGGAUAGUGGACAAUGGGCGGAAGCCUGAUCCAGCAAUGCCGCGUGAGUGAUGAAGGCCUUAGGGUUGUAAAGCUCUUUUACCCGGGAUGAUAAUGACAGUACCGGGAGAAUAAGCCCCGGCUAACUCCGUG
This 433-nucleotide ribosomal RNA is filed under the name uncultured bacterium. RNAcentral's name for it is "partial 16S ribosomal RNA". It matches the Rfam family "Bacterial small subunit ribosomal RNA", at positions 29 to 507 of the family's 1533-position model. The record is from RNAcentral.